Molecule: ribosomal RNA, 253 nt
Filed under: uncultured bacterium
Lineage: Bacteria
Description: partial 16S ribosomal RNA
Rfam family: Bacterial small subunit ribosomal RNA
Source: RNAcentral
GACAGAGACUGCAAGCGUUAUUCGGAUUCACUGGGCGUAAAGGGUGCGCAGGCGGUUGUGUGUGUCAGGGGUGAAAGCCCGGGGCUUAACCCCGGAAUUGCGCCUGAAACUACAUGACUAGAGCAUUGGAGAGGGUAGCGGAAUUCACGGUGUAGCAGUGAAAUGCGUAGAUAUCGCUUGGAACGCCAAAGGUGAAAACAGGUUGCUGGGGUUGUGCCGACGCUGAGACACGAAAGCCAGGGGAGCAAACGGG